GAAACAACUGGGAAAACCAAUAAAAUCAAUACUUUCAAAGCACAACUUGUCACACUAAAAAGAACACAGGUCUAUCCUUUGGGGUAAAUGUCAAUGGAACACACAAUAAUUAACUAGAGUAAAACCCACAGAAGAGCAACACAUUUUUUUGGAAUCAGGGAAUGGGUCAUAAUACAAACUCCUGACUCAGUUGUCCCAUUACCUUAAAUACUGAGGCUCACUAACGUUUCUCUCGAUCUAUAACAUGUUUCAGUAAAGUCUCAAUGAGAGAAUGGAAAAAUCAGUCAAAAGAACUCCAAGUUAAAGCAUUAUCUAGGCAGGUAGAAUUGGAAAACAAACUGUUAUCUACUAUGAAUAUUCAAGUAUAACUAUAAGAAUAAGAGACUGAAGAUGAACUUUGAAAAAGAAAAGGGGAAAAGAAACUAAAAACAGACCAACUAUGAUAUGCAUGCAGCAAGAUGUACCUUUGCAAAGAUCCAUCCUUAUAUUAUACAGUUCAUAAAUGAUGCAAGCUUCUAGGAACCACAUGCUUAAAUCCUUAUUCAGUUCAAAAUCAGCCACCAGUAACUGCAGCCAGUUUUAUUCUGAUUACAGCUAAAGCGAUGAUGCAGGCGAGAAAUAGUAAAGCAUGAUUUUAAAUGUCACACAGAUGAGUAAUAUGCAAUCUAAGGAAUCUAUAAGAGCAAAGUUGACUCCAUAGUGGUCUUCUAUGGCACACUGGGGGCAAUUACUUUCA
Molecule: unclassified non-coding RNA, 736 nt
Filed under: Hevea brasiliensis (rubber tree)
Lineage: Eukaryota; Viridiplantae; Streptophyta; Magnoliopsida; Malpighiales; Euphorbiaceae
Source: RNAcentral